Molecule: transfer RNA, 73 nt
Organism: Ovis aries (sheep)
Lineage: Eukaryota; Metazoa; Chordata; Mammalia; Artiodactyla; Bovidae
Rfam family: tRNA
About the family: Transfer RNA (tRNA) molecules are approximately 80 nucleotides in length.
Source: Rfam
UCCUUGGUGGUCCAGUGGCUAGGAAUCUACGCUCCCAAUGCAGGGGGCCUUGGUUCGAUCCCUGGUCAGGGAA